RNAcentral lists this small RNA (1004 nucleotides) under Pan troglodytes (chimpanzee). RNAcentral's name for it is "retained intron". The record is from RNAcentral. Lineage: Eukaryota; Metazoa; Chordata; Mammalia; Primates; Hominidae.
AAAUCAUCAUUGCCAUUGCCAUUUCCAAAAAGACUGUUUAAAAUAUUGGCAAGCGUCUUUUUACAUGUGUCUAGAUCUGAUUGUAAUUCCCAUUUUAAUAUCAGCAGGCACAGCUGUUUGGUCUAGAAAUGGAGGACAGGCCUCAUCGUCUCCUAAUUAUGAAGGACCCUUACACUCUUUGCAAAGCCGAAUUGAAGAUCGUUUAGAAAGACUGGAUGAUGCUAUUCAUGUUCUCCGGAACCAUGCAGUGGGCCCAUCCACAGCUAUGCCUGGUGGUCAUGGGGACAUGCAUGGAAUCAUUGGACCUUCUCAUAAUGGAGCCAUGGGUGGUCUGGGCUCAGGGUAUGGAACCGGCCUUCUUUCAGCCAACAGACAUUCACUCAUGGUGGGGACCCAUCGUGAAGACGGCGUGGCCCUGAGAGGCAGCCAUUCUCUUCUGCCAAACCAGGUUCCGGUUCCACAGCUUCCUGUCCAGUCUGCGACUUCCCCUGACCUGAACCCACCCCAGGACCCUUACAGAGGCAUGCCACCAGGACUACAGGGGCAGAGUGUCUCCUCUGGCAGCUCUGAGAUCAAAUCCGAUGACGAGGGUGAUGAGAACCUGCAAGACACGAAAUCUUCGGAGGACAAGAAAUUAGAUGACGACAAGAAGGAUAUCAAAUCAAUUACUAGCAAUAAUGACGAUGAGGACCUGACACCAGAGCAGAAGGCAGAGCGUGAGAAGGAGCGGAGGAUGGCCAACAAUGCCCGAGAGCGUCUGCGGGUCCGUGACAUCAACGAGGCUUUCAAAGAGCUCGGCCGCAUGGUGCAGCUCCACCUCAAGAGUGACAAGCCCCAGACCAAGCUCCUGAUCCUCCACCAGGCGGUGGCCGUCAUCCUCAGUCUGGAGCAGCAAGUCCGAGAAAGGAAUCUGAAUCCGAAAGCUGCGUGUCUGAAAAGAAGGGAGGAAGAGAAGGUGUCCUCGGAGCCUCCCCCUCUCUCCUUGGCCGGCCCACACCCUGGAA